RNAcentral lists this microRNA (22 nucleotides) under Hyalella azteca. Its description in RNAcentral is "miR-1332". The record is from RNAcentral. Lineage: Eukaryota; Metazoa; Arthropoda; Malacostraca; Amphipoda; Hyalellidae.
AAUUGGUUAGAGGUGGUCGUCA